AGCGAGUCUGCCUUGAAAUCGGAGUGCUUGCACUCUGUGAAACAAGAUACAGGCUAGCGGCGGACGGGUGAGUAACACGUGGGUAACCUGCCCAAGAGAUCGGGAUAACACCUGGAAACAGAUGCUAAUACCGGAUAACAACAGAUGAUGCCUAUCAACUGUUUAAAAGAUGGUUCUGCUAUCACUCUUGGAUGGACCUGCGGUGCAUUAGCUAGUUGGUAGGGUAACGGCCUACCAAGGCGAUGAUGCAUAGCCGAGUUGAGAGACUGAUCGGCCACAUUGGGACUGAGACACGGCCCAAACUCCUACGGGAGGCAGCAGUAGGGAAUCUUCCACAAUGGACGCAAGUCUGAUGGAGCAACGCCGCGUGAGUGAAGAAGGGUUUCGGCUCGUAAAGCUCUGUUGUUGGUGAAGAAGGACAGGGGUAGUAACUGACCUUUGUUUGACGGUAAUCAAUUAGAAAGUCACGGCUAACUACGUGCCAGCAGCCGCGGUAAUACGUAGGUGGCAAGCGUUGUCCGGAUUUAUUGGGCGUAAAGCGAGUGCAGGCGGCUCGAUAAGUCUGAUGUGAAAGCCUUCGGCUCAACCGGAGAAUUGCAUCAGGAACUGUCGAGCUUGAGUACAGAAGAGGAGAGUGGAACUCCAUGUGUAGCGGUGAAAUGCGUA
RNAcentral lists this ribosomal RNA (666 nucleotides) under uncultured bacterium. RNAcentral's name for it is "bacterial SSU rRNA". It matches the Rfam family "Bacterial small subunit ribosomal RNA", at positions 56 to 692 of the family's 1533-position model. The record is from RNAcentral.